AGCCAUGCGGUGAACAUAAAACGAACUUAUUUUUCUCCUUUUACUAAAGAUUACCGUGUGUUUUCCAUGCUAAGUGGCAUACGCCCAUUUUUAGAGGGUCUUGCUUGAGUGUGCCC
Small nuclear RNA from Raphanus sativus (radish), 116 nucleotides. RefSeq annotates it as U5 spliceosomal RNA. The transcript has a single exon. The record is from RefSeq and is a predicted model, not a curated record. NCBI's taxonomy places the organism in Eukaryota, Viridiplantae, Streptophyta, Magnoliopsida, Brassicales, Brassicaceae.